CUUCAGAGACCCGAGCCAGAGCGGCUCGUCCCCCGCGCGCCCCUGCCCGUAAGUGGCGAGAAGUGCCUGAGCCUC
RNAcentral lists this antisense RNA (75 nucleotides) under Streptomyces sp. PRh5. RNAcentral's name for it is "ASpks sRNA". It matches the Rfam family "ASpks TB sRNA". Lineage: Bacteria; Bacillati; Actinomycetota; Actinomycetes; Kitasatosporales; Streptomycetaceae. The record is from RNAcentral.